Taeniopygia guttata (zebra finch) is the source of this 86-nucleotide non-coding RNA. NCBI's taxonomy places the organism in Eukaryota, Metazoa, Chordata, Aves, Passeriformes, Estrildidae. The record is from Rfam.
AAAAUAAUUACUCUGAGAUUAGUUGAGUUGUUUAGAGUAUGGUGCUAAUAACACCAAGGUUGUGGGUUCAAGCCCCAUUUACUUAA